Molecule: ribosomal RNA, 253 nt
Filed under: uncultured bacterium
Lineage: Bacteria
Description: partial 16S ribosomal RNA
Rfam family: Bacterial small subunit ribosomal RNA
Source: RNAcentral
GACGAACCGUGCGAACGUUGUUCGGAUUCCCUGGGCUUAAAGGGCGCGUAGGCGGGCGACCAAGUCAGGGGUGAAAUCUUUCGGCUCAACCGGAAAAUAGCUUCUGAUACUGGCCGUCUUGAGGGAGGUAGGGGUCUGUGGAACUUCUGGUGGAGCGGUGAAAUGCGUAGAUAUCAGAAGGAACGCCGGUGGCGAAAGCUACGGACUGGAUCUCUUCUGACGCUGAGGCGCGAAAGCUAGGGGAGCGAACGGG